Camelina sativa (false flax) is the source of this 338-nucleotide non-coding RNA. The record is from RefSeq and is a predicted model, not a curated record. NCBI's taxonomy places the organism in Eukaryota, Viridiplantae, Streptophyta, Magnoliopsida, Brassicales, Brassicaceae.
UCAGAUAUUAUGCCCAGGUCUAGAUUCUCAUCUCCACAUCUCGGCUUCUCCUCAAGAGGCAGCGACAUAUCCUUAUUUUCCCGGCCAAUAACCUACUUUGACUGGUGAUGUCGAUUUCUUGCUCAAGAACAUGGAAUAAGCAAGAGUAGAUGGAGCUCUCAUUGUGCAACCCAUCAAUCACAAGUUUGAUCAUUCGAGAGAGAAGGAACGGCCCACUGCUGCAGAUGUCUCUCUUCUCUCAUUGUCACUUUGUUAUUAGAUACUUGUUUAUUUCAAGAACAGUUUCGGACUAUCACUACUGAUUCCAAACAAAAGAGCCUGCAAAAAAAAAGAACGAC